CUAUACAUGCAGUCGAGCGGACAGAAGGGAGCUUGCUCCCGGAUGUUAGCGGCGGACGGGUGAGUAACACGUGGGUAACCUGCCUGUAAGACUGGGAUAACUCCGGGAAACCGGAGCUAAUACCGGAUAGUUCCUUGAACCGCAUGGUUCAAGGAUGAAAGACGGUUUCGGCUGUCACUUACAGAUGGACCCGCGGCGCAUUAGCUAGUUGGUGGGGUAAUGGCUCACCAAGGCGACGAUGCGUAGCCGACCUGAGAGGGUGAUCGGCCACACUGGGACUGAGACACGGCCCAGACUCCUACGGGAGGCAGCAGUAGGGAAUCUUCCGCAAUGGACGAAAGUCUGACGGAGCAACGCCGCGUGAGUGAUGAAGGUUUUCGGAUCGUAAAGCUCUGUUGUUAGGGAAGAACAAGUGCGAGAGUAACUGCUCGCACCUUGACGGUACCUAACCAGAAAGCCACGGCUAACUACGUGCCAGCAGCCGCGGUAAUACGUAGGUGGCAAGCGUUGUCCGGAAUUAUUGGGCGUAAAGGGCUCGCAGGCGGUUUCUUAAGUCUGAUGUGAAAGCCCCCGGCUCAACCGGGGAGGGUCAUUGGAAACUGGGAAACUUGAGUGCAGAAGAGGAGAGUGGAAUUCCACGUGUAGCGGUGAAAUGCGUAGAGAUGUGGAGGAACACCAGUGGCGAAGGCGACUCUCUGGUCUGUAACUGACGCUGAGGAGCGAAAGCGUGGGGAGCGAACAGGAUUAGAUACCCUGGUAGUCCACGCCGUAAACGAUGAGUGCUAAGUGUUAGGGGGUUUCCGCCCCUUAGUGCUGCAGCUAACGCAUUAAGCACUCCGCCUGGGGAGUACGGUCGCAAGACUGAAACUCAAAGGAAUUGACGGGGGCCCGCACAAGCGGUGGAGCAUGUGGUUUAAUUCGAAGCAACGCGAAGAACCUUACCAGGUCUUGACAUCCUCUGACAACCCUAGAGAUAGGGCUUUCCCUUCGGGGACAGAGUGACAGGUGGUGCAUGGUUGUCGUCAGCUCGUGUCGUGAGAUGUUGGGUUAAGUCCCGCAACGAGCGCAACCCUUGAUCUUAGUUGCCAGCAUUUAGUUGGGCACUCUAAGGUGACUGCCGGUGACAAACCGGAGGAAGGUGGGGAUGACGUCAAAUCAUCAUGCCCCUUAUGACCUGGGCUACACACGUGCUACAAUGGACAGAACAAAGGGCUGCAAGACCGCAAGGUUUAGCCAAUCCCAUAAAUCUGUUCUCAGUUCGGAUCGCAGUCUGCAACUCGACUGCGUGAAGCUGGAAUCGCUAGUAAUCGC
RNAcentral lists this ribosomal RNA (1311 nucleotides) under Bacillus safensis. Its description in RNAcentral is "bacterial SSU rRNA". It matches the Rfam family "Bacterial small subunit ribosomal RNA", at positions 49 to 1345 of the family's 1533-position model. The record is from RNAcentral. Lineage: Bacteria; Bacillati; Bacillota; Bacilli; Caryophanales; Bacillaceae.